Molecule: ribosomal RNA, 253 nt
Filed under: uncultured bacterium
Lineage: Bacteria
Description: partial 16S ribosomal RNA
Rfam family: Bacterial small subunit ribosomal RNA
Source: RNAcentral
UACAGAGGGGGCAAGCGUUGUUCGGAAUUACUGGGCGUAAAGGGCGCGUAGGCGGCCUUCUAAGUCGAACGUGAAAUCCCCGGGCUCAACCCGGGAACUGCGUCCGAGACUGGAAGGCUUGAAUCCGGGAGAGGGAUGUGGAAUUCCAGGUGUAGCGGUGAAAUGCGUAGAUAUCUGGAGGAACAUCGGUGGCGAAGGCGGCAUCCUGGUCCAGCACCGACGUUCAGGCACGAAAGCGUGGGGAGCAAACAGG